GCGGCAUAACUUGAGUAACUCAUCGAACAGGCACGCCGAUCUUUAAAAGGCAUUCUGAACUUUGAUGCUGAGGCCUGAUCCAUGCUAGCUCCUGCGGCGGCGGCGGCGAGGGCGAGGGGAGCGAGGGAGCGAGAGGGAGCGAGCGAGGGGCAGACACGGUGUGCCUUGUGCUGGCAGUCCGUGUUCUUGUGACGGUGCUCGGGCCUGCACGCACGGGGUCUGCUCGCCAGCCGUGGUUACUGGUGAUGAUGAUGAUGGUUGUGGCGACGUAGCGACGAGUCUCUCUCUCUCUUACAUCUCUUCAUGGUUGUGAUAGUCAGCGCUCGAUCCAAGAAGGAACCACGCCUCCGCCCAGCAUCCCAAGAAGACCUUAUUUUGAUAAAGGCGUUAGCGAGUCGUAGAGAAAACUGCCCUGCUUAUCCCCCUUUGUUGGCUCCUCUUCUUACUCGUCUACUUCUUCGACUUCUUCGAUUUUUUGUAGCGUGUCUAUAAAAUAUAAAUAUAUAUAUGUAUGUGUGGGUGUGUGUAAAAUAGAAUAAGGAUUACCGUAGCUACUGAAGUCAGAAUACUAUUUGCUUUUGGAAAAAAAAGAAACUUUCUCUAUAUAAUCCUUUCCUUUUGGGUUCCGAUAGUUUUCUCUUUUUUGGAUGUAUACGAUUUGAUUCUCUUUGGUAGGUUAGCCGAUCAAUGAUAACACAACACGAAUCCAGCGCGCGCGCAGAUUCAAACGUCGUCACUUUGUCACAACAACAAGGCCAGUGACGAGCGUGGUAUAGUGAGUGUGAGGUGGAUUGAAAGAAGGAAAAAGAAAACAAAAAAAAGGUCA
This is a long non-coding RNA of Penaeus chinensis, 826 nucleotides long. RefSeq lists it as uncharacterized. Lineage: Eukaryota; Metazoa; Arthropoda; Malacostraca; Decapoda; Penaeidae. The transcript has 2 exons. The record is from RefSeq and is a predicted model, not a curated record.